ACCUUCAAAGCCAAAGAAUGCAAACCAAUAUGUUAAAAUAUAUUAAAUGUGAAUGCCUAUGCUUUAAUUUAAGUCUAGUAACUUCUGAGAAAACUUCUUUUCAUUUUCAAGUUCAAUAUUGAGUUUUAAUUGUCUAGUAUUCUUAUUUUUGACUAGUCACAACUAUACUAAGAAAAUACAUUUGAAUAUUUUUCCAGGCAGAAUGUUUGUUUGUUUGUUUUUUUUUUUUUUUUAUGUUCAAAACACCAGUAUAUAAUUGUAACCAGUCAGUAGAAGAUUUUAAAUGUUAACACAUUGUCAUAUGAGCAGAUCUUUUAGGGUCACACGUAGAAAAGAGAAAAUGGUUUGAAAUUGCAAUUUACAAGUUGAUUUACACUAUAAGAAACAGUUGCUGCAAUUGCCACUUAAUUCACUCUGUGAAAUGAAUUGCAGUUUAAAUAAGGAAAAAAAAUGGA
This is a long non-coding RNA of Erpetoichthys calabaricus (reedfish), 455 nucleotides long. RefSeq lists it as uncharacterized. The transcript has 3 exons. NCBI's taxonomy places the organism in Eukaryota, Metazoa, Chordata, Cladistia, Polypteriformes, Polypteridae. The record is from RefSeq and is a predicted model, not a curated record.